This 69-nucleotide transfer RNA is filed under the name Aedes aegypti (yellow fever mosquito). It matches the Rfam family "tRNA". Rfam says of the family: Transfer RNA (tRNA) molecules are approximately 80 nucleotides in length. Lineage: Eukaryota; Metazoa; Arthropoda; Insecta; Diptera; Culicidae. The record is from Rfam by way of RNAcentral.
GCUUGGUAGCUUAGUUGGUAAAGCACUUGUCUAGCAUACAAGAGUCGUGGGUUAGAAUUCCACCAAGCA